CAGUCGCCACGGUAAUACGAAGGGUGCAAGCGUUACUCGGAAUUACUGGGCGUAAAGCGUGCGUAGGUGGUGGUUUAAGUCCGUUGUGAAAGCCCUGGGCUCAACCUGGGAAUUGCAGUGGAUACUGGGUCACUAGAGUGUGGUAGAGGAUAGUGGAAUUUCCGGUGUAGCAGUGAAGUGCGUAGAGAUCGGAAGGAACAUCUGUGGCGAAGGCGACUAUCUGGGCCAACACUGACACUGAGGCACGAAAGCGUGGGGAGCAAACAGGAUUAGAUACCCGGGUAGUCCCUGUCUCUUAUAA
This 301-nucleotide ribosomal RNA is filed under the name uncultured bacterium. RNAcentral's name for it is "partial 16S ribosomal RNA". It matches the Rfam family "Bacterial small subunit ribosomal RNA", at positions 509 to 809 of the family's 1533-position model. The record is from RNAcentral.